This 301-nucleotide ribosomal RNA is filed under the name uncultured bacterium. Its description in RNAcentral is "partial 16S ribosomal RNA". It matches the Rfam family "Bacterial small subunit ribosomal RNA", at positions 509 to 807 of the family's 1533-position model. The record is from RNAcentral.
CAGUAGCCACGGGAAUACAGAGGGUGCGAGCGUUAAUCGGAUUUACUGGGCGUAAAGCGUGCGUAGGCGGCUUCUUAAGUCGGAUGUGAAAUCCCUGAGCUUAACUUAGGAAUUGCAUUCGAUACUGGGAAGCUAGAGUAUGGGAGAGGAUGGUAGAAUUCCAGGUGUAGCGGUGAAAUGCGUAGAGAUCUGGAGGAAUACCGAUGGCGAAGGCGACCACCUGGACUGAUACUGACACUGAGGUGCGAAAGCGUGGGGAGCAAACAGGAUUAGAUACCCGAGUAGUCCCUGUCUCUUAUAC